RNAcentral lists this ribosomal RNA (639 nucleotides) under uncultured bacterium. Its description in RNAcentral is "bacterial SSU rRNA". It matches the Rfam family "Bacterial small subunit ribosomal RNA", at positions 232 to 885 of the family's 1533-position model. The record is from RNAcentral. RNAcentral also lists the same sequence under 1 other name.
CGCGGCCUAUCAGCUUGUUGGUGGGGUAACGGCCUACCAAGGCAUCGACGGGUAGCUGGUCUGAGAGGACGAUCAGCCACACUGGGACUGAGACACGGCCCAGACUCCUACGGGAGGCAGCAGUGGGGAAUAUUGCGCAAUGGGCGAAAGCCUGACGCAGCAACGCCGCGUGGGGGAUGACGGCCUUCGGGUUGUAAACCCCUUUCAGCAGGGACGAAAAUGACGGUACCUGCAGAAGAAGCCCCGGCCAACUACGUGCCAGCAGCCGCGGUAACACGUAGGGGGCAAGCGUUGUCCGGAUUUAUUGGGCGUAAAGAGCUCGUAGGCGGUUGCGUAAGUCGGAUGUGAAAACUCAGGGCUCAACCCGGAGACGCCAUCCGAUACUGCGCUGACUAGAGUCCGGUAGAGGAGCAUGGAAUUCCUGGUGUAGCGGUGAAAUGCGCAGAUAUCAGGAGGAACACCAGUGGCGAAGGCGGUGCUCUGGGCCGGUACUGACGCUGAGGAGCGAAAGCGUGGGUAGCGAACAGGAUUAGAUACCCUGGUAGUCCACGCCGUAAACGUUGGGCACUAGGUGUGGGGCCUCCUUAACGGGUUCCGUGCCGUAGCUAACGCAUUAAGUGCCCCGCCUGGGGAGUACGG